RNAcentral lists this ribosomal RNA (508 nucleotides) under uncultured bacterium. RNAcentral's name for it is "bacterial SSU rRNA". It matches the Rfam family "Bacterial small subunit ribosomal RNA", at positions 8 to 526 of the family's 1533-position model. The record is from RNAcentral.
AGAGUUUGAUCCUGGCUCAGGACGAACGCUGGCGGCGGGCUUAACACAUGCAAGUCAAGGGGGCGGCGCAAGCCGCAACCGGCGAACGGGUGCGUAACACGUGAGCGACUUUCCGUUUCCUGGGGGAUAGCCGGCCCAACGGCCGGGUAAUACCGCAUACGCUCGGUGAGGGGCAUUCCUUAUCGAGGAAACUUCCGGGGGGGAACGAGGGGCUCGCGGCCUAUCAGCUAGUUGGCGGGGUAACGGCCCACCAAGGCGACGACGGGUAGCUGGUCUGAGAGGAUGGCCAGCCACAUUGGGACUGAGAGACGGCCCAGACUCCUACGGGAGGCAGCAGUGGGGAAUCUUGCGCAAUGGCCGAAAGGCUGACGCAGCGACGCCGCGUGUGGGAGGACGCUCUUCGGGGUGUAAACCACUGUUGCCCGGGACGAACAGCUUCUUUCGAGGAGCCUGACGGUACCGGGUGAGGAAGCGCCGGCUAACUCUGUGCCAGCAGCCGCGGUAAUAC